UACAGAGGUCUCAACCGUUGUUCGGAUUCAUUGGGCGUAAAGGGUGCGUAGGCGGUCGCGCAAGUCGGAUGUGAAAUCUCAGGGCUCAACCCUGAAACUGCAUUCGAUACUGCGUGGCUAGAGUGCUGGAGAGGAGACUGGAAUUUACGGUGUAGCAGUGAAAUGCGUAGAUAUCGUAAGGAAGACCAGUGGCGAAGGCGAGUCUCUGGACAGUUACUGACACUGAGGCACGAAGGCCAGGGGAGCAAACGGG
Molecule: ribosomal RNA, 253 nt
Filed under: uncultured bacterium
Lineage: Bacteria
Description: partial 16S ribosomal RNA
Rfam family: Bacterial small subunit ribosomal RNA
Source: RNAcentral